UGACAGCAUCUGAUUUCUGCUGUUGUGGUGAUUUAUUUACAGAAUUGUUCAUAUUUGUAGUUAAAUAUCAGUACAGGAUUUAAAGAUGUUUAUAGAUUUCCAGACUUUUGGUCGUUUGCUGAAAUCUCUUCUUUUCAGGUGUGACUUCAGUUCAAUCUUUAAACCAAACUAAAGGUUCUAAUGUUAAUUUGGCAGCAGGUAAAACUUACAGACCGUUAGAGAAUCUCAGAAUUCACUUUAAAAGUCAAGAUGGCAGGAGAAUGAUACAACAGCUGUCCUACAGAUCCUUUAAUAUGUCAACUUGUCAUUGAAGACUUGAAAGAAACAAGAGCUAACUGGAGUUUGUGCAUCGUCCUGUGAAAGAAACACAGAAAACAUAAAAUACAUAAAUAUAUGUUCUAUAAAAAGUUGAGCUUACCGUAGAAAGAUACUAAAACUAUCCUGAGUUCAUUAGGAAUCGAGGAAUUCUUUAAGUUUCUAACAGAUACGAGAUGCUAUGACAAAUCGAUUUGUUGGUCAAGACUUUAUAAAACAGGAUCUGACUGGAGUUUGUGCAUCAUUUUGGGGACAAAAAACUUCAGUUGUGCAGAAAAUAAGUUGUAUUUUGCAGCUCAACCAGCAGAGAGAAAAGUUCAAGAACUAUAAGCUUCAGGUUUGUAGAGUUUCCAGGAUUUAUUCGGCUGCCGAAGCACUACAAAGAGUUUUGCAGCGGAUUGAACUCAAUAACUCAACUUUUAUUGCUUUAAACUGAUCAUCUGCAGGUAAAAAGUACAAAAACCAACCAAUAUGAGCCAAAAAGGUGCAAAAAUUCAUUCUUAAGUCACUGAAAACGUCCUUUUUUGAGCCUUUCCUGCACAGAAUCGGUUCAAACGUUCACAACAAACAUCAGUUCACACGUUUUGCAUCAGUUUUUUUUCUGACUGAAACAAGCAAGUUUAAGUUUUACAGGUUUUUCUUCCGUGUGUGUGAAUGUGUGUGUUUGUAUUAAAUAUGCAUCGUCCUUUAUCACCACACACACACACACACACAGUAUCACAAACACAGUCACUGCAGCUGAUGGGUCGGAGUUAAACAGCAGAAAGACGUCACUGUAUGCAGUUUGUAAAUGGAGAUCUGUUAUUAAAACAACAUGAAACCUG
This is a long non-coding RNA of Amphiprion ocellaris (clown anemonefish), 1139 nucleotides long. The record is from Ensembl. NCBI's taxonomy places the organism in Eukaryota, Metazoa, Chordata, Actinopteri, Pomacentridae.